This 267-nucleotide ribosomal RNA is filed under the name uncultured prokaryote. RNAcentral's name for it is "partial 16S ribosomal RNA". It matches the Rfam family "Bacterial small subunit ribosomal RNA", at positions 510 to 776 of the family's 1533-position model. The record is from RNAcentral.
AGCCGCCGCGGUAAUACGAAGGUGGCAAGCGUUGUUCGGAUUCACUGGGCGUACAGGGAGCGUAGGCGGUUGGGUAAGCCCUCCGUGAAAUCUCCGGGCCUAACCCGGAAAGUGCAGAGGGGACUGCUCGGCUUGAGGACGGGAGAGGAGCGCGGAAUUCCCGGUGUAGCGGUGAAAUGCGUAGAGAUCGGGAGGAAGGCCGGUGGCGAAGGCGGCGCUCUGGAACGUUUCUGACGCUGAGGCUCGAAAGCGUGGGGAGCAAACAGG